GAUGAAGAACUUAGCGAAAUGCGAUACGUAAUGUGAAUUGCAGAUUUCAGUGAAUCAUCGAAUCUUUGAACGCACAUUGCGCCCGCCAGUAUUCUGGCGGGCAUGCCUGUUCGAGCGUCAUUUCAACCAUCAAGCGCCUCGCUUGUGUUGGGGCCCUGCGGCUGCCGCAGGCCCCUAAAUCCAGUGGCGGGCUCGUCGUCGUACCGAGUGCAGUAAACAUCCUCGCUCAGGGAACCCGACGGGUGCCGGCCGUGAAACCCCCCCUCCUCAAGGUUGACCUCGGAUCAGGUAGGAAUACCCGCUGAACUUAAGCAUAUCAAUAAGCGGAGGA
Molecule: unclassified non-coding RNA, 331 nt
Filed under: soil metagenome
Description: partial contains 5.8S ribosomal RNA, internal transcribed spacer 2, and large subunit ribosomal RNA
Rfam family: 5.8S ribosomal RNA (bases 1-120)
Source: RNAcentral